UAGAGUUUGAACUGGCUCAUAGGAUCGCUGCCGGCUGACUAACACACCAAGUCGAGCGUAACACAGCGAGCCUGCUCUCGGGCGACGAGCGGCGUACGUGUGAGUAAUGUCUGGGAAAUUACUUGAUGGAGGGCGACAACUACUGGAAUCGGUAGCUAAUACCGCAUACCGUGUCAAGACCAAAGUGGGGGACGUUCGGGCCUCAUGCCAUCAGAUGAGCCCAGAUGGGAUUAGCUAGUAGGUGGGGUAAUGCCUCACCUAGGCGACGAUCCCUAGAUGGUCUGAGAGGACGACCAGCCACACGGGAGGUGAGACACGGUCCAGACUCCUACGGGAGGCAGCAGUGGGGAAUAUUGCACAAUCGGGCGCAAGCCUGACGCAGCCAUGCCGCGCGUAUGAAGAAGGCCUUCGGGUUGUAAAGUACUUCUCAGCGAGGAGGAAGGCGUUAAGGCUAAUAACCAUAGAGAUUGACGUUACUCGCAGAAGAAGCACCGGCUAACUCCGUGCCAGCAGCCGCGGUAAUACGGAGGGGCAAGCGUUAAUCGGAAUUACUGGGCGUAAAGCGCUCGCAGGCGGUUUGUUAAGUCAGAUGUGAAAUCCCCGGGCUCAACCUGGGACCUGCAUUGGAAACUGGCAAGCUUGAGUCUUGUAGAGGGGGGUAGAAUUCCAGGUGUAGCGGUGAAAUGCGUAGAGAUCUGGAGGAACACCGGUGGCGAAGGCGGCCUCCCUGACAAAGACUGACGCUGCAGUGCGAAAAACGCC
This 762-nucleotide ribosomal RNA is filed under the name Klebsiella sp. GB20. Its description in RNAcentral is "bacterial SSU rRNA". It matches the Rfam family "Bacterial small subunit ribosomal RNA", at positions 9 to 873 of the family's 1533-position model. The record is from RNAcentral. Lineage: Bacteria; Pseudomonadati; Pseudomonadota; Gammaproteobacteria; Enterobacterales; Enterobacteriaceae.